GGGCCUGUAGCUCAGUUGGUUAGAGCGCGCGCUUGAUAAGCGUGAGGUCGGAGGUUCAAAUCCUCCCGGCCCACCA
RNAcentral lists this transfer RNA (76 nucleotides) under Allobosea sp. SL145. RNAcentral's name for it is "Bosea sp. SL145 tRNA-Ile". It matches the Rfam family "tRNA". Rfam says of the family: Transfer RNA (tRNA) molecules are approximately 80 nucleotides in length. The record is from RNAcentral. Lineage: Bacteria; Pseudomonadati; Pseudomonadota; Alphaproteobacteria; Hyphomicrobiales; Alloboseaceae.